AUUGAACGCUGGCGGCAUGCUUUACACAUGCAAGUCGAACGGCAGCGCGGGCUUCGGCCUGGCGGCGAGUGGCGAACGGGUGAGUAAUACAUCGGAACGUGCCCAGUAGUGGGGGAUAGCUCGGCGAAAGCCGGAUUAAUACCGCAUACGACCUGAGGGUGAAUGCGGGGAAUCUUCGGACCUCGCGCUAUUGGAGCGGCCGAUGGCAGAUUAGCUAGUUGGUGGGGUAAAGGCCUACCAAGGCGACGAUCUGUAGCUGGUCUGAGAGGACGACCAGCCACACUGGGACUGAGACACGGCCCAGACUCCUACGGGAGGCAGCAGUGGGGAAUUUUGGACAAUGGGCGAAAGCCUGAUCCAGCAAUGCCGCGUGUGUGAUGAAGGCCUUCGGGUUGUAAAGCACUUUUGGCGGGAACGAAAAGGACUGUGCCAAUACCACGGUUCGAUGACGGUACCCGCAGAAUAAGCACCGGCUAACUACGUG
This 484-nucleotide ribosomal RNA is filed under the name uncultured bacterium. RNAcentral's name for it is "partial 16S ribosomal RNA". It matches the Rfam family "Bacterial small subunit ribosomal RNA", at positions 29 to 507 of the family's 1533-position model. The record is from RNAcentral.